CCUACGGGAGGCAGCAGUAGGGAAUCUUUCACAAUGGGCGAAAGCCUGAUGGAGCAACGCCGCGUGCAGGAUGAAGGCCUUCGGGUUGUAAACUGCUUUUAUAAGCGAGAAAUAUGAUGGUAACUUAUGAAUAAGGAUCGGCUAGCUACGUGCCAGACGCCGCGGUCAUACGUAGGAUCCGAGCAUUAUCCGGAGUGACUGGGUGUAAAGAGUUGCAUAGGUGGCAUAAUAAGUAGCUAGUGAAAUCUGGUGGCUCAACCAUUCAGACUAUUAGCUAAACUGGUAAGCUCGAGGCCAUUAGAGGUAACUGGAAUUUCUAGUGUAGGAGUGAAAUCCGUAGAUAUUAGGAGGAACACCAAUAGCGUAGGCAGGUUGCUGGGACGGUUCUGACACUAAGGCACGAAAGCGUAGGGAGCAAACGGGAUUAGAUACCCGUGUAGUC
This 442-nucleotide ribosomal RNA is filed under the name uncultured bacterium. Its description in RNAcentral is "partial 16S ribosomal RNA". It matches the Rfam family "Bacterial small subunit ribosomal RNA", at positions 338 to 795 of the family's 1533-position model. The record is from RNAcentral.